RNAcentral lists this ribosomal RNA (512 nucleotides) under uncultured bacterium. RNAcentral describes it as "bacterial SSU rRNA". It matches the Rfam family "Bacterial small subunit ribosomal RNA", at positions 1004 to 1516 of the family's 1533-position model. The record is from RNAcentral.
AAUCGAGGAAGUCACUUCGGUGACAGGAAGACAGGUGGUGCAUGGUUGUCGUCAGCUCGUGUCGUGAGAUGCUGGGUUAAGUCCCGCAACGAGCGCAACCCUUAUUGUUAGUUGCUACCAUUUAGUUGAGCACUCUAGCGAGACUGCCCGGGUUAACCGGGAGGAAGGUGGGGAUGACGUCAAAUCAUCAUGCCCCUUAUGUCUAGGGCUACACACGUGCUACAAUGGCUGGUACAGAGAGAUGCUAAACCGCGAGGUGGAGCCAAACUUUAAAACCAGUCUCAGUUCGGAUUGUAGGCUGAAACUCGCCUACAUGAAGCUGGAGUUGCUAGUAAUCGCGAAUCAGAAUGUCGCGGUGAAUACGUUCCCGGGCCUUGUACACACCGCCCGUCACACCAUGAGAGUUGGCAAUACCCAAAGUUCGUGAGUUAACCCGUAAGGGAGGCAGCGACCUAAGGUAGGGUCAGCGAUUGGGGUGAAGUCGUAACAAGGUAGCCGUAGGAGAACCUGCG